UUGAUUACGUCCCUGCCCUUUGUACACACCGCCCGUCGCUACCCGGGACUGAGUUGUUUCGAGAAAUCUACGGACCUGUUUGCUUGCAAGCGGGAAAGUAAAUUAAUCGCAAUGGCUUGAACCGGGUAAAAGUCGUAACAAGGUAUCAGUAGGUGAACCUGCUGAUGGAUCACUA
This 175-nucleotide ribosomal RNA is filed under the name Aphelenchoides bicaudatus. Its description in RNAcentral is "partial 18S ribosomal RNA". It matches the Rfam family "Eukaryotic small subunit ribosomal RNA", at positions 1641 to 1831 of the family's 1831-position model. Lineage: Eukaryota; Metazoa; Nematoda; Chromadorea; Rhabditida; Aphelenchoididae. The record is from RNAcentral.